CUACGGGGUGCUCCAGUGAGGAAUAUUGGUCAAUGGGCGAAAGCCUGAACCAGCCAUGCCGCGUGCAGGAUGACGGCCCUACGGGUUGUAAACUGCUUUUAUACGGGAAGAAACCUCUCUACGUGUAGAGAGCUGACGGUACCGUAGGAAUAAGCAUCGGCUAACUCCGUGCCAGCAGCCGCGGUAAUACGGAGGAUGCAAGCGUGUAUCCGGAUUUAUUAGGUUUAAAGGGUGCGCAGGCGGAAAUAUAAGUCAGUGGUGAAAUCCUACAGCUUAACUGUAGAACUGCCAUUGAUACUGUUUUUCUUGAGUAUAGUUGAGGUAGGCGGAAUGUGUAGUGUAGCGGUGAAAUGCAUAGAUAUUACACAGAACACCGAUUGCGAAGGCAGCUUACUAAACUAUUACUGACGCUCAUGCACGAAAGCGUGGGGAGCGAACAGGAUUAGAUACCCUCGUAGUC
Molecule: ribosomal RNA, 460 nt
Filed under: uncultured bacterium
Lineage: Bacteria
Description: partial 16S ribosomal RNA
Rfam family: Bacterial small subunit ribosomal RNA
Source: RNAcentral